AGAGUGAACGCUGGCGGUAGGCCUAACACAUGCAAGUCGAACGGCAGCACGGUAAGAGCUUGCUCUUAUGGGUGGCGAGUGGCGGACGGGUGAGGAAUACAUCGGAAUCUACCUUUUGGUGGGGGAUAACGUAGGGAAACUUACGCUAAUACCGCAUACGCCCUUCGGGGGAAAGCCGGGGACCAGCAAUGGCCUGGUGCUGAUAGAUGAGCCGAUGUCGGAUUAGCUAGUUGGUGAGGUAAUGGCUCACCAAGGCGACGGAUCCGUAGCUGGUCUGAGAGGAUGAUCAGCCACACUGGAACUGAGACACGGUCCAGACUCUACGGGAGGCAGCAGUGGGGAAUAUUGGACAAUGGGCGCAAGCCUGAUCCAGCCAUACCGCGUGGUGAAGAAGGCCUUACGGUGUAAA
RNAcentral lists this ribosomal RNA (409 nucleotides) under uncultured soil bacterium. RNAcentral describes it as "bacterial SSU rRNA". It matches the Rfam family "Bacterial small subunit ribosomal RNA", at positions 26 to 429 of the family's 1533-position model. The record is from RNAcentral.